CUCUCUACUCGCCCAUGCUCCCUUCAUCCUCACCCAUCCCAUCAUUAAUUUUUUUUCACCUGUCAUUCAUUUUUUCCUCUCUUUUUCUCUCUCCUCACUCACGAUCCCUUCAUUGUCAUCCAUCGUUUUAUUUUCCCUCAUUAUUUUUCUCUCAUCUUUCCUCACUCUGAUGAAAGCUUCCUCCAUCAUCCGGUGAUGGCAGAUGGCAACAUCCAUCGUCAUGGCGACGCUGGUGAUUCAACAACUGGUGGCAGCGGGUGAGACCAAAGAGGCCACUAAAACUCAGCUCCCAUUAUCUCGCCUAUGCAGACAUCUUCCCCAGCUCCUUAUGUAUUAAGGAAAAAAGAAGUCACGCCUCUGUUAAACUAAACAAAUUAGUAAAUGAGCCCAACUCUAGUUGAGAUUGAGUUCCAUCAUUGUCAACUAAAUCGAGUUUGGGCUAACUUUUGAAGCUCAGCUGGAGCUCGAAUCGAGCUCAAGUUGAGCAAAAUACGAGUGGAGCCAAGUUUGAGUUGGCUGAGCUUGAGCUCGACUCAGCUCGUGUGCAGCCCUACUUUUUCUUUCGCCAUUCUGAUAACCCUGGUGUAUUGUUGGUGAACCAAAAAUUGAAUGGAGACAACUAUGACACAUGGAGCAGAUCACUGUUGAUGGCACUUGCUGCAAAGAACAAGAUAGCCUUCAUUGAUGGUUCAAUACAUGUUCCAUAUCUUGGUCAGUUAACUCUCUCAGUCAUGAUAUUGCUAGCAUCGUUAUCUAUGCCACCAUUGCACAGGAGGUAUGGUCAGAUCUCUGUGAAAGGUUUACACAAAGUGUAGCACCACGUAAAUUUCAGAUUAAGAGCACCAUAAAUGAACUUGUUCAAGAAUUAAUGUUUGUUUUAGCAUAUUAUACUAAGUUGAAAUCUUACUGGGAUGAGUUGGCUUCC
This is a long non-coding RNA of Nymphaea colorata (pocket water lily), 925 nucleotides long. RefSeq lists it as uncharacterized. The record is from RefSeq and is a predicted model, not a curated record. NCBI's taxonomy places the organism in Eukaryota, Viridiplantae, Streptophyta, Magnoliopsida, Nymphaeales, Nymphaeaceae. The transcript has 2 exons.